UUUUAUUUAAUAUAAUUAGUAUAUUAAGCUUCCAACUUAAAAGUUUAAAAAAUCUUAAAAUAAAUA
Molecule: transfer RNA, 66 nt
Filed under: Limassolla sp. XZ-2020
Lineage: Eukaryota; Metazoa; Arthropoda; Insecta; Hemiptera; Cicadellidae
Description: tRNA-Gly
Source: RNAcentral